GCCUGCAGGUGCAUCUUUUCUGCAGAGCUUGGCCAGCAGCAUCCCUGGCUCUUGCCCUCCUCAGCCCCUUGCCUUGCAAUCUCCUCUCCCCAGUGAUUGAAAUCUUCGUGGCAGAGCCUUGUGGGGUUGCUCUUUAAAAAAAGGCUGUGCUGGUUUGGCUGGUUUCAGUGAGAGCAACAUGCUCUAAAAGCCAUUCCUGGGCUCCAAACAGCCCUUGGAAAAAGAGCUUCCCAGGCUUCUGGCUCAAGGGGUGCUCAUCAGAUAUAAGUGGUCACUCCUGGCACGAGGGCAGAGAGCUGCAGGAGUUUUAAGGAGACAAGUGGGUGUGCUUACAACAUGCCAACAAAGAACAAACUAUCUGGGAAUACUGGGAUGAGGCUUGAGGAGUUGCUUUUGGGUAAAGCCUUGGGAUUUCAACGUGGACUGCUGAGAAGGGAGCAUCACCUUGAUUUGGAGCUCCAGUCCAGAAAUCCUCAGGGUAAAAAAAACCACCUUGUGCAGCGAAAGUAAAGGCUGAAGUGGCUUUCAUGAAGCAGGCUUAGUUCCCCUGGAGGACUGACAUCCCCAUUUUUGAGGCCUAAUUGCAUGAAGUCUCCUGUGAUAAUUCCUUAGACAGCGAUGAAAAGCAGCUGGAGCCAGCCCCUGGCAUUGAGGGGUACGAGCCCAGCGGGUCGGAGCCGUGUCUUGAUAGGGCAACAAAGAAUUCCAAAGCCUUGGACAGCCGUGAUCCUGUCGGAUGUGCUUAGAGCCUUUCUUCAUCCAUUGCUGACACAGAUCCCCGGCGCUGAUCAAUAUUAAAAUGCUUCCCUGGAAGGUGUGUUUCCUGUACAAUUUGGGACGAUGUUGUGAAGAUAAAGGAGUGCUUUUGUAGGAAGUGCUGGUUGGUUUGGAGCGGAGGCAGUGUUUAUAAAAGCCCUCAGUCUGACCCGGGGCUGAUGACAUCAGCCUGGCCACACAGGGUGGUGGCAGGGGCCCAUCAGCAGCACCUGCCUUUGUGUGGAGGGACCACAAACCAGGCUCCCUGCAGCAGGAACCUGAAGGUUUUGUGUUCCUGGCUCCCCUUUUUCACUGGAUAU
Molecule: long non-coding RNA, 1076 nt
Organism: Passer domesticus (house sparrow)
Lineage: Eukaryota; Metazoa; Chordata; Aves; Passeriformes; Passeridae
Exons: 3
Source: RefSeq, a predicted model, not a curated record